This 1146-nucleotide long non-coding RNA is filed under the name Equus caballus (horse). Its description in RNAcentral is "lncRNA (ENSECAG00000040905.2)". The record is from RNAcentral. Lineage: Eukaryota; Metazoa; Chordata; Mammalia; Perissodactyla; Equidae.
CUAGGGGUCCUGCCUUCCACGGAAACAACAGAAUAGGCCGCCUAAGCGACUGGUGCCAGCCUCCCCCAGCGAAGGGAAGAUGGGGACUUCCAAAAACAGGGCAUCCUGAGUCACCCCUCCGAUAUCGCUGCAUUUCCAAGCAUCCGAAGGCUGCCUUUGAACCUUUGAGGGGAGCACAGGCAGAGCAGGAGGUGCAGGGGGACCCCAGGGGCCACCCGACCUGUGAUGAAGGCGUGGGAAGCGCCUGUCGGAGGAGGCUCGGGGACCUGCUCAUCUCAGGGUCGCCCAUCUGCUGCCAUCACCGCAGAACCCAGAGUGUGGCGCCGGGUCUCCACCUCCAUCCUCAUCCUCCAACUCUUCGUCACUCAGCCCCACGCAGAAUGACCGGGCCACUCCUGCUCUCCGUAGCCUUCAGUGGCUCCCUGUUGCCACCGUUCACUGUUGUGAAGCUCUAAGGCAUGGGCUUCAGGCGUCGGAUCCUGGCUCAGUGGAUGUCUUAGCUGAGAGCCCUGGACGAGUUUCUUAGCCUCUUUGUGCCUUGGUUUCCUCCGUAAACCGCGUAACUGCUGGCCAGCCAGGCGCAGUGCUGGGGCUCCGGCGGGGUUGCUGACAGCUGCUGCGGGGAGAGCGGUGGCUGGCCCGCCAUCUGUUGCUGCCUUGUCUCUGGGGUGGCACCUCCUUCCGGCUCCAGCACUUUAUUUAUGGCCGACCAGAGGGCCUUGCUAAAUCCUUUCUGGACUUGGCUCCAUCUGUCAGCCUCUCCUGACUGCGCUGAUCACGGCCUCAUCGCUCUCCUGUCCUCCCGCCGCCCCGCCUGCCUUUUCCAGCCUUUCCGGGGAGGGCGGGGCGCACGACGGGAAGGGAAGUCAUUUUUAUUAAUGGUUGUGAUGACAGUGACUUCUUCAGCACUCACUGCACAUCUUUUAUGCAUCAUCCGUUUCACCCCCCAACAGUUCUACAAGGAGGGCACAAGGGCACCCAUCCCCAUUUACAGUGCAGGAACAGAGAGGCUGAGAGGGCCACCUGAUGUCACACAGCGGGGAGUCAGCGGAGGGCUGGGAUGUGAACCCAGGCAGCCUGGCUCUGGAGUCUGUGUUCCUCAGCCUCCACCUUGCUGCUUGGCCACUGUGUUAUUACCAGAUAGGG